Molecule: ribosomal RNA, 508 nt
Filed under: uncultured Lachnospiraceae bacterium
Lineage: Bacteria; Bacillati; Bacillota; Clostridia; Lachnospirales; Lachnospiraceae
Description: partial 16S ribosomal RNA
Source: RNAcentral
CACGUAGUUAGCCGGGGCCUCUUAGUCAGGUACCGUCAUUUUUUUCUUCCCUGCUGAUAGAGCUUUACAUACCGAAAUACUUCUUCACUCACGCGGCGUCGCUGGAUCAGGGUUUCCCCCAUUGUCCAAUAUUCCCCACCGCUGCCUCCCGUAGGAGUUUGGGCCGUGUCUCAGUCCCAAUGUGGCCGUCCACCCUCUCAGGCCGGCUACUGAUCGUCGCCUUGGUGGGCCGUUACCUCACCAACCAGCUAAUCAGACGCGGGUCCAUCAUAUACCACCGUAGUUUUUCACACUGUCUCAUGCAAUACUGUGCGCUUAUGCGGUAUUAGCACCUAUUUCUAAGUGUUAUCCCCCUGUAUAUGGCAGGUUACCCACGCGUUACUCACCCGUCCGCCACUAACGUCAUCAACACUUUCCACUCUUAGCAAGCUAAUUGCUUACAAAAAUGAAUGACUCCGUUCGACUUGCUACUGUAGUUAAGCGUACGCCGACCUAGCCGUUCACUCCC